Small nuclear RNA from Phodopus roborovskii (desert hamster), 107 nucleotides. The record is from RefSeq and is a predicted model, not a curated record. NCBI's taxonomy places the organism in Eukaryota, Metazoa, Chordata, Mammalia, Rodentia, Cricetidae.
AUGAUCACUUUGGCACCACAUAUACUAAAACUGGAACUAUGCAGAGAAGAUCAGCAUGGCCCUUGUGUAAAGAUGACAUGCAAAUUCGCGAAGCAUUCCGUAUUUAA